GCAUCCAUGGAGGAGGGAGCUGGAGCGUUGGUGCUCGUACCUCGACUUGCUUCUGCAGGGACUGCACGUAGUUGAUGAUCUCGUCGAGCAUGCCGGCCUUGCCGGUGACCUUGUUGCAACCGGGCACCAGCUCCUGCAGCUCUCGCCUCGCAACAAAGACGCGAGAUGGAGGCAGGAUCAAUGGCGGUGGCGUACCCGUUCGGCGAGGCUGUGGCUGUCCGUGGCCUGCCCACGGCGGGCUCUGACGUGGAUGUAGUCGGUCUUCUGGCCGGCGGUCACCGUCGACGCCGAGGUCGCCGGGGAAUCCUUGGGUGACGCCACCUCCGCCUUCUUCUUGGCUCCUGGCCGUGCCCUCUCCGGCCUUCCUUUCCCCACCGCCGCCGCCAUCUGAUCGGGAUGACACGGCUGCUGCUGCUGUUGCUGCUUCCCUCUCUGCCUCUUGCAGAUGCUGUUGCUCUCACCCUGACACAGGUACAUACACAAGCCAGUCAAAUACUCGGUCGGGUAGUAGCUGAACUCUUUGCAGCCAAUGCACAAAUCUCUCUCACCUUUGCGUCGUCCGGUCUCCUCUUCCGGAAGCUGCCUCCGCCGCCGCUGCUGCCGCUGCCGUUGCUGGCCUCCGGCGCCAGCGGCGGCUCGCCGCCUAAGCUCCCGUAACACAUGCUUGCCAGGUCCUGCCACUCCUGGAGGUAGCCGAACAUGGCGCGGCACUUGUCGUCGUCGAGCAUGACGUCGUCGAGUAGCCCCUGGCAGAGGCUCUCGACGGUGUCAAGGUGACCCUUCCGGUGUCGUGAAACGUCGCCGCCGCCGCAUUGCGCCAUAUUACUAACCACUUAGCAAGAAGAGAAGACGAUCAAUUCUAGGAACAAAGCUAAGAUUUGGUUGGUUCUUCCUAUCCUUUGAUGCAAAUAGGUAGUAUGUGACCCUUUCAAGGUAAGCAACAGGAUGGUAGCUAAUGUGUAAGCUUAAGGGGAGGGUUCUUGUGCCUGAAGUUUGCGUGUCCCUUUCUCUCCCUCCCUCUUUUGCUCUUCAGGAAUUUUUUCCUAAUCCAUAUAUAUAGAGUGGACGAUAGGUGGAUAGAGAGGAGGAACCUUUCAUUGUGUAAUCGUACUUUUGGUAUGAGAUUGGAUUUGGCCCUUUAGGUAUGUUCAUGUGAGGUAGGGCUGGAUAAAGUAGUGCGGGUCCCUGUGUUUCAGCUGGCAUAUGCAUUGGCUAGAACGUCUCAUCAAUUGGCCCUCCUGUAAUCCACAAAUUAGCAAUUAUGCUCUUGCUUUCAUUUCCUCUACAAAAGAACAUAUAAAUGUGAGAAUCAAUGGGAUUGCUUUAGUUAUGGGCAUAUGAAUCAACACCAUAUCAGGCAAUAAGAUGUUGGCUCUUGAACCACUCCAUAUUAUUUACUCAUUAUAUACUGCAUCAUCCUUUUCAAUUUGCUUUUGAAUCAUAGUCAUAGCCAUUCUCAAGUAUCAACUUAAGUGAUGAUCAUGCUCCAUGCACUUAGCUAACCUUUUUCUAAAGGAAUAACAUGCACAAGGUUUUAUUUGUGCAUAUACUGAAAUAAGAGGUGGCUUCUGAACAUUUGCUGAUGCUGCAAAAGGACGAUUGGGGAGGUGACAGCUGCUCCAUUAACCUGUAUGGACAGCUCUAUCUUCUCUGCACUGACCCUUGUCCCACCACACCAUACUCGCCACGUGUACAUUUGCAUUAAGAAAUAAGAUGCUCAGAUUAGUGAUAACCCGUUGGCCAUAUUACUGAACAGAACCGGACUUUGCAUUCCAGUUCGUUAACACGAGUAUUCCUUAAUGAGCAGUGCACGUGAACAUCGGCUUAAUUUUUGUCCACUGACAAUCUCCUGGUGAUUGUCUGGAAGCAUGCAUUGCACCCCAUCUUGGUGUCUGUUGUCUAGCACAUUAUGGAAGCAGGAUAUUGAGGGGAACUGUUAGUUUAAGUAGAAGAGACUAUUUUCUUUUGAAGGGCAAGUAAUGCUGCUAUAGAUCAUGAUUAGAUGGAAUUGUGCAACAGUUAGUGGUUGUUCAAAGACAGGAGUGGAUUCGAAAAAACCUGGAGUGCUUCUGUUCGUUUUGCGGCUAGGCGGUUUUCAGUUUAGCAUUCAACUAUAUUAGCUCCCUGUCUAAUUAAUGAACGUUUGUGUGGAUCUGCUGAUGAUCUUAUUAA
Oryza sativa Japonica Group (Japanese rice) is the source of this 2172-nucleotide non-coding RNA. Lineage: Eukaryota; Viridiplantae; Streptophyta; Magnoliopsida; Poales; Poaceae. The record is from RefSeq and is a predicted model, not a curated record.